Molecule: non-coding RNA, 3498 nt
Organism: Lolium perenne
Lineage: Eukaryota; Viridiplantae; Streptophyta; Magnoliopsida; Poales; Poaceae
Source: RefSeq, a predicted model, not a curated record
UAUUACCCCUAUUAGAUUCUCCCGUUUGUCUUUUCUUUGUGCACCGUCAUCGCAUCAUGCAUAUCAUACCAUGUCACUUUGGUUCUUAUCAAUUUGCAUUUGGAUUUUAUCUACCCUCUUUAUUUUAUAUUAUUGGUUUUUCUCGCUCUCUCUUCUCUCUUGUUCUAUCUUCCAAGCUUCAAGCCUACCUACCUAUUUCUACACUUGGGCACUUUUAAAAAUGUCAUGCCAAUUUUUCUAGUAAAUAUCGGUUGAUAUUAAACCCGCUCUCUUUAAUCUCUUAUCUUGCAAUUAAUCAACUUAAGAAUAAUUUUGGAAUGUUGAAAAUGUUUUUUUUUCUUGGUUUCAGAUAAAUAAAGAUAUUAUGUUGAAACUACUUCUGUCACUUCUCUCUACCUUUGUUUCAAAUUCUAACUUGUUUUCCAAUGGUUUAAAUAAAAUCAGAGAAAGAAAAAGGAAUAAAAGAAAUAUAUAAAAAAAUCAGCCCAAGCUCUAUCUUCUCUUCAUAGCACAAGCCCAUCUAACCUCUUUCUUCUUUUCCUGGAACGACCAACGCAGUGCCCUGGCUCCUUGCUUCCCGUACACGAGCACGAGGCUUGCGUGCUCUGCUUUAUCCCACCUGCUCCUCCACUUUCCCCUCCUCUUUCCCCCUCCAAAUCAACCCCCCAACCCUAGCUGCCUACUUCCUCUUGCCGCCGCCGCCGCCCCAUCUUCUAUCCCCUCCACAAAAGGAUUCAGAGGAGAACAACCAGGGACAAUUUGGAAUUUUCAGUCACCGAUUUCGCCGGAGAAAGGUCGACGCCUCGCCGCCACUGUUCCUCGCCGCCGUUCGCCGUACUGAGCACGGGGAUGGAGCCCCUGUGGUCUCCGUUCUUCCCUUGCUGAGUCCCUGGAGCAGGAGCAGCUCUAGGACGUCUUCUUAGACCUCGUCUUCUUCCUGGAGCCGCGCGCCUCUACUUCCUCUUCCUCGUCUCCAUCGCCCCCGAGCUCGAGCGUCUCGCCAUCGUCGUCCUGGGUGAGAACUGUCUUGCCUCCACCCUCUCCAUGUUCGUUCUGUCGCAGUAGUUUUCCCUGUCGAGAGGUUAACACACGCACACACCACACACUGCACACCACGGGCACGUUUGCUGCUGCUGCUUGCUCGCUGGCCACGCACUCCCCAUCACGCGCUACUCUGCUUUGCUAAUUCCAGUCGCCAUCUUCGUUUCUUCACAGACGCUCGCAGACAGCUGCCAGUCUUCAGCUAUGUAUGUCUUCGUCAGUUCAGUUCCAAGCAGCACGAUCCCCUCCUUUGAAUUAAGCAAAGUUGUACGCCAAUAGCUUUGCUUCUUUCUCCUUGACCAGAUUGAACUGGGAUCCUUUCACGACAGCAUCAAGUCCCAACCUUUUGCUUAUUCUUAUCGAUGCAUAAUCUUGUGUUGCUUCAAAAGAACGUGCACACCUCACGCUACCUUCAGUUACACCCAGUACUUCUAUCUUUGUAUCCAAUGCCAGAUAGUCCUCGGCUCUGCAAGUUUUCCUUUUUAUUUCUCUUUACAAAUCCUGUCUUUUUUAUAUCUUUUAAACUACAACCGCUAAUACAAUGUGAUAUAUAUGAAUCUUGCUAAUAAAAUGCUUUAAAUAAUAAUAUGACAUUCAUAUGCAUGUUUAUAUCUCGCAUCUUGUCGUUCUGUUAUAGUUUGCAUCACACUUAAUAAUUAAACGCGGAGUAUUUAGGAAUUACCGGCUACGGUUCCUCGCUCCGAUUAAAAUUGAUGUAGCUCACCCGUGCCAUGUCUUGCCAUGCUAAAUAACACUUAAUAUUGCCGGUAGAAAAGUAACUCGAACAUAAUAAUUAUGUGUCGGAAUUCCGAUUCCGCUUAAAUUGGAUAAGUGGAUCGCAUCAUCCUUGCCAUGUCAUGCAUAUCAUCUUGAGCAUGCCGACUCUUUAUCCGUAGUAGUAAGAUUGCAUACGUUGUGUGUUCCAGCAUUUGCUUCUUCCCGGAUAGGAUCACGAAGUGGUGAUGUGAGAUACGACGAGUUCUCCGACAAGUUCUUCUGCAGCUUUUCACAGGCGAGCCCACCCCUUCACCUAUUUUACUUUUACAUGCUCUUUUGAUCUAUUGCUAUCCUUAUGUUGCGAUUCUGUUGUGUCACGUGUCCUAUCCACCUGUUACCUAUAUGUCCGAGAUACGCCUCCUCGCCCUACCUAUUGUUUGUUGUUUGCCAGCCUUGCGAGUCGUAGGCGUGUUUAGGCUCUGUUGUUUAUCUCGAUCUGUUAUCGGGAUAUGUUGGGUUGUUGGGAGGUUUUUUUUUUUACAUGCUAUAUCAUUUGUUGGAGAUAAUCACACUUUACUUUAUUGUUAACAACUAAAAUUGUAAGCAGAGGCAUCUGUGAGCCCCUUUGCGAAAGCAUCGGAACUUUGACUUGCUAAUGUCCCCUAGGACCCGAGUUCUUGUUAUCUGUUCCGAGAUUGAGCGCUCUACCCAUACGUGGGGGAGUGGGACCCCCAUCACCCACUACCUUUCCUCGAGUCUGUUUAUUGGGAGCCACAACCUUGGUUUUAUUUGCUCAUAUGCACGAUGCACGAUUUACUUCUGUUGCCUUCGGGUGUUUAUAUUAUGUUCUGUACUCAUAUCGUGGAACGAUUAGCGACAGCAGGUUGUUCACACUUAGCUUAGCCGUUGGCACAAACCUCUGGGUCCGUAUCGGAGUACGGCCGAACUUCGUCACGGGUAGCUUAGUUGGGUGGCUCCCAUUAAACUUUCUCUUGCAUUGGGAACGGUCUUGAUGUGAGACUCCACCUGUAGUAAGUGGGUUCGAGCAUGCGUAUGGUUACAUUUGGGCAACCCCUGCAGGGUGUACAUCUUAUCGAUAAGCCGUGUCCGCGGUUAUGGACGACUUGGAAUUGUAUGGCUUGAUCAUAGAACAACUUACACCUUAUACUUGUUGUUAAUAAUCUGAUAAUAACUUGUGUAGUAAUAUAGCAUUACCACAACCGAUACCUAAUAAAAUUUGUCCACCGUUGAGUGCCUUUUACAUUGCCUCUUCGCUUUGUUGAAGGGGAUAUGUGUAAUCGGCUGGGUUAUGUUUGUGUAGUAUUUAUCUGUUACCUUGUGCGCUCUCUUAUCUUCUCUGAGUAGACGGAUGUUGUAGCGUGUCUCUAUUGGAUAGUAGCUUUGCUGCCGCUAAACUCCACAUAUAGCCGGGUGAAGUUUAUACCGCCCACCAGCGAGCAUAGCUGGUCUUGUCUCGCAAGUACGUGCCAAUGGUACUUACCCUCGCCUUCCUUUCUUUUUGUCUCCUCCCCCUUUUGUCGGCAACCGAUGGCCCGACUUUGACAGGUACGAGAUGAUGACGUUAGCAAGGUUACCCUUCCGGCUUGGCCUGGGCAGGGUUAUGGACGCCAUUGGUUAUCUUCAGGACUCUUAGUCCAAUUUGUAUCUUGUCCGUACUCGGACGUAUUCGAUCUUCUGUAUGAUUUGGAUCUUUGUAUUGUAUAUUUGUAUCUUGACUCG